CUUUUCGGGGUAGAGAAUUUUGGGACUGAGUGGGCGGACCGGGUGAUUAAAGGCUGGGGUUAACCUUUCCCUAUGAAGGGGGGUUAACAGUUUAGAAAUGAUGGUUAUUCCCGCCUAAGCGCCCCGUAUCGCCAUGAUUCAGUUGAAAAAACUUCCGUGACAUAGGAGGGACCCGCUUCGAUUAGGUUGUUGGUGAGUAAUGGCUCCCCAAGGCGACGAUCAGUAGCCGGCUUGAGAGAGUGAACGGCCACAUUGNGACUGAGACACGGCCCAAAACUCCUACGGGAGGCAGCAGUGGGGAAUAUUGCACAAUGGGGGAAACUCUGAUGCAGCGACGCCGCGUGAGUGAUGAAGUAUUUCGGUACGUAAAGCUCUAUCAGCAAGGAAGAUAAUGACGGUACUUGACUAAGAAGCCCCGGCUAACUACGUGCCAGCAGCCGCGGUAAUACGUAGGGGGCAAGCGUUAUCCGGAUUUACUGGGUGUAAAGGGCGUGUAGGCGGAGAUGCAAGUUGGGAGUGAAAUCCCGGGGCUCAACCCCGGAACUGCUUUCAAAACUGUAUCCCUUGAGUAUCGGAGAGGCAAGCGGAAUUCCUAGUGUAGCGGUGAAAUGCGUAGAUAUUAGGAGGAACACCAGUGGCGAAGGCGGCUUGCUGGACGACAACUGACGCUGAGGCGCGAAAGCGUGGGGAGCAAACAGGAUUAGAUACCCUGGUAGUCCACGCUGUAAACGAUGAAUACUAGGUGUGGGAGGACUGACCCCUUCCGUGCCGCAGUUAACACA
RNAcentral lists this ribosomal RNA (782 nucleotides) under uncultured bacterium. RNAcentral describes it as "bacterial SSU rRNA". It matches the Rfam family "Bacterial small subunit ribosomal RNA", at positions 76 to 859 of the family's 1533-position model. The record is from RNAcentral.